RNAcentral lists this ribosomal RNA (212 nucleotides) under uncultured bacterium. RNAcentral's name for it is "partial 16S ribosomal RNA". It matches the Rfam family "Bacterial small subunit ribosomal RNA", at positions 524 to 732 of the family's 1533-position model. The record is from RNAcentral.
UACAGAGGGUGCGAGCGUUUAAUCGGAAUUACUGGGCGUAAAGCGUGCGUAGACGGUUCUGUAAGUCGGAUGUGAAAUCCCCGGGCUCAACCUGGGAAUUGCAUUCGAGACUGCAAAGCUUGGGUGCGGAAGGAGGGAAGCGGAAUUUCCGGUGUAGCGGUGAAAUGCGUAGAUAUCGGAAGGAACAUCAGUGGCGAAAGCGGCUUCCAUGG